RNAcentral lists this RNase P RNA (302 nucleotides) under uncultured Cetobacterium sp. RNAcentral's name for it is "Bacterial RNase P class A". It matches the Rfam family "Bacterial RNase P class A", at positions 36 to 352 of the family's 367-position model. From Rfam's summary of the family: Ribonuclease P (RNase P) is a ubiquitous endoribonuclease, found in archaea, bacteria and eukarya as well as chloroplasts and mitochondria. Its best characterised activity is the generation of mature 5'-ends of tRNAs by cleaving the 5'-leader elements of precursor-tRNAs. The record is from RNAcentral. Lineage: Bacteria; Fusobacteriati; Fusobacteriota; Fusobacteriia; Fusobacteriales; Fusobacteriaceae.
UUAGCAAGAGGAAAGUCCGGGCUCCAUAGAGCAAAAGGGUAGCUAACGGCUACUAAAGGAAACUUUAAGGAAAGUGCCACAGAAAAUAGACCGCUACUUUAUGUAGUAAGGGUGAAAAGGUGGUGUAAGAGACCACCAGUUCUUUAGGAGACUAAAGAAGCUAGGUAAACCCCCUUUGGAGCAAGACUAAAUAGGAGAGAAAUAGGGGUUGCUCGUCCUCUCUCAGGGUAAGUUGCUUGAAGCUAUAAGCAAUUAUAGCUCUAGAUAAAUGAUUGACAAAUACAAAACCCGGCUUACUUAAU